RNAcentral lists this ribosomal RNA (309 nucleotides) under uncultured bacterium. RNAcentral's name for it is "bacterial SSU rRNA". It matches the Rfam family "Bacterial small subunit ribosomal RNA", at positions 30 to 334 of the family's 1533-position model. The record is from RNAcentral.
AUUGAACGCUGGCGGCAGGCUUAACACAUGCAAGUCGAACGGUAACAGAGAAGUGCUUGCACUUUUGCUGACGAGUGGCGGACGGGUGAGUAAUGCUUGGGAAUAUGCCUUAUGGUGGGGGACAACAGUUGGAAACGACUGCUAAUACCGCAUAACGUCUACGGACCAAGGGGGGGAUCUUCGGACCUCUCGCCAUUUGAUUAGCCCAAGUGAGAUUAGCUAGUUGGUGAGGUAAUGGCUCACCAAGGCGACGAUCUCUAGCUGGUUUGAGAGGAUGAUCAGGCACAAUGGAACUGAGACACGGUCCAU